UUUUUACAAAUUAAAGCGCACAGAUAAAAGACUCUCUGCUGCCUCUAAUUCAUAAGAUUCGAAACAAUUGGUACACGAGGAAGGCUCAGACUGGUUAUUGAACAACUGUUAUUGGUAUGCUGGCAAAUUUCGUGUCGCCUAAAAAGUCGUUAAGAGACGAAGCAAUUUUAUAUACUUUCCUACGAGGAUAUUUUAUAAUACGGAUUGGAACGAAUCAAAAGUGUUGAUUGAAUUGAAUGAGAAGUAGUGAUUGACUGUGAAGAGGAACGAUUGAAUCUGAGGAAAAGAAAGAACAUUUUCUUUAAGGUAUUUAUCAUAGAAAGAUGAGUCCGUUGUUUAACAUGCUAUAUAAGAACCGUAGAAAUGCUACGUCGUUGCCUAGAAGAGACGUUCGAAUUGCUAGAGGAGAUUUUCUGGCUACCUCCCCGAAGGUUGUAAAAAAUAUGACCAACAGAUUUUCUUCGAACCCGAACGGUAUUUUCAUUUUCUAGUUCCUAGGUAGUGUCGUAAAAUCGGUUACUCUUUCAUCUGUUAUACACACAGGUAUACCUGGUUUGGGAAUCGUUUCGAGGGAGAUCGUUGCGUUUCGGAGUGAAUCGGCUCGGCUCGCUCGAACGAACAUCGCGGUACGAACGGAGAAUUUGAAGCCAGGACUCUCUCGUUGCCUGCUGUGUGCCUUUUCUCUUUCGACGUGUUUCUUUUUCACUCUGGCCGACGCUGACUUUCUUUCUCUCUCUCUACUCUCGUCAUCGGAGCCUAUCUUUUUCUUGCCAUUCCACCGUUUCCCUUGUUCACCGUGUGCCCCUUCUUGCAUUCGUUCGUUCGUUCGUUCGUUCGUUCGUUCGUUCGUUACGUUGCCUAGCCCUGGGAAUGCGCGGUCAUUCUCUCUCUUGCUCCUCGACGUUUCUCUGUUUCACUCGCACGCGCGUCUUAUUGACCCGGACCCGGUUCUCUCCUCUUCUCUCUCUCUCUCUUUCUCUCUCGUUCUACGUUCUGUCUCUAUCGCACCCUCUCGAUUCGCCGGGUUACCUCCGACUCACCCGCCUCUUGAUUGGGGGUUGAGUGGGAAGAAAGGAAACCCAACGUAUAAAUCCUAUGAUAUACAUUUUCAUUUUGUCUCUCGUACGAAUUGAAAAAAUAAGGGAACAUCGGCGACGUUAGGAAUUAUUUUCUCCGGAGGACGCGCGCCGAUGGUAGUUCCCACGAUACGUUUUCCAUAUUUAAUAGAUCCGAUCUCUCGGACAAGCGCCUAGGAAUUAUGGGGUAUGCGUCAGUCGCAGGGUAUAAGUUUGAAAUUACAUUCCAGUCCCUUACGAUUUAUCGAAUUUUACAAGAACGAGUUUAUAUUAAUUGUUCUCUCGUGUAAACGUGAUUCACUGUCAAGACUGUAUCUUUCCUGGAAUAUUCUCCGAGUGUACGCUAAAUGGAACUAAAACGAGAGAACCUCCGCAAAGGACGAUAGCGUGAGCAUAAAAUUUGUAUUUGGAGCUAUGAAAAGGAGGCAAUUUGGGUAAUGUUUGAAAAUUUUGUUCUUCCGUAUCGACUGACAGGACGGUCGGUCGCGGCGGUGAACGUUGCGGGUUGACACGGAGGAAAAAGGGUGCGCGAAAAGCAGGAAGUACCAAUGUGGAGCAAAUUCCAGUGACCGUAGCAGUGUAACGAAACUAAGAAGGGUAAAAAGAAGAAAAAAAGAAAAAGGCGCGAGAAGAAGAAGAAGAAAGAGCGCGCGACGACGACGACGACGACGACAAGUCAGAGGAGUCGACGUCUUCCUCUCCCUUUCGUUCUCUUUCUCUGCCUAAAAGUUGACCUCGAGUUUCAAGGGUAGAGAAGGGUUUGCAGUCGUUCGCCCCUCUACCUUACCGGGGACGACUACGAAGCCGUGGCUCUCGAAUUCUCUACGGAACGGAAGAGAGAAAAGCGACGUUGCCUCGACGUUAGCCGCGUCAGACUCCCGCCAUCCCCACCUCUGUUAAAACGUCGUUCGAUUGGUCGGACCGUUCGGGUUUUCCUUUGUGAGCGGGCGGGUGAAAGCGCGGCCUGGCAACGCCGCGGGAGUUCGCCGGCGCGGCGUCCGCUGGAAGGAAGGCUAAGCUCUUGCCUGGUGGAAAAAGGACGGAGGAACGCUAGGAGAAAGAGAGGAGAACCAGCGAGGGACUCGGAGAAGGGGACACACCGGAGAAAGAGAAAGAGAGAGAAUAUACAAGCGUCCAGCCAGCACCAUCGGCAGCAAGCAAGCAAGCAAGCGAGCGAGCGAGCCGUCCUCGCCAGGUUCGCCCUCUGUGUGUGCGGGGCAUCGCGUGUAGAGUCCGUGCCGAGAGAAGCGAUCCGCGCGCGUAAGCUUCUCCAUGUGAAAAAGCUAUUACGCGUUCCACUACCACUGUGUGCGAAAGGGAGAGAGAAGAACGUCGUCGUCGUCGUCGUAUGUACACCGUAAAACAAGAAGAAGGAGUAUCGCGCGUGGUGUCGCGUACAGUGCGUAAUUAGCGUCUACGCGUUUUUCCGAGGAGGAGUAGGAAGAAGAGUAGUAGUAGAACUACGGAUACACCGGGCGAGAAGAGCGAUGCGCUCGAAAUAUCUCCGCUGGACGAAUGAACGAGGAUAGACAAGUCGUAUGCCCGGCGUAAGAGAAAAAUUGAGUGGUUCCAUGAGCAAGGGUAGGGAAGAAGACAUAGUAUAGAGCGGUAGAGUCGGGGCAGAAAGGAGAGAGAGAGAGAGAGAGAGAGAGAGAGAGAGACCGGAGACGGAGACGGAGAUACGCAGCGGAGCAGCGUAUCUGUCGAUGGUGGGGAUACAGAGGGAAAAAGAAAGAGCUAGAAGGGGAGAGAGCGCCCUCCCCUACCCACCCGCCCGCUCUCCUCCUCUACCCGCCAUACCUACUCACGGAGCUAACGAACGGUUGAGCGUAGCGUCGAGUAGACCGCAACCCAAGUAUAACGUUCGUAUUCACGAGGACCUUCUCAUCUAUAGAUCGUGGAAAAAGCGUGUACGAGGAGCGGGCGUGCUACCAGGAGUACUAGUGGUGAUCGUGUAGUGCACCGGCUGGACGAGGGAAACGUGGUGUGUCACAGUGAACAGAACGAGAGAGAGAGAGAGAGA
Molecule: long non-coding RNA, 3099 nt
Organism: Ceratina calcarata
Lineage: Eukaryota; Metazoa; Arthropoda; Insecta; Hymenoptera; Apidae
Exons: 2
Source: RefSeq, a predicted model, not a curated record